CCCUUUUCUGAGUCACGGCGGUGUCUAACCAAACCCACCUUGCUGGCUGCUCUAUUUUUUUUACUCAUCCACUCUGCCUCAGAAAACCCUGUCAUGACUUAUGAAUGAAUAGUACACCCCUGACACCUAAUACCCCCAUUGGAUAAUUUAGCCACCCAAGAAACAUCACGUUCGUUUAACACGUCUUCCACUUGAGAGUGUUACUAUUCACUCUCUGCAGCAGAUUGUACUUUUCACGACAAACGCUGAUUUUCACCUGGACACAUCCUUUAUGAUCAUCAAAGGCGGUACACAGAUGGAUUGUCCGACGUGAUGGAGGAUGCAGUCAAAAUCUGUCUGCAAAAAAUGAAGUGAUUAGGUCUAUGAUUGCCUUAAAACAAUGCAGUACAAUUUUUUUUCAGCAUGAAGUUUCAGUUUCUUCAUGGCUAUGCAAACAGACGAGUUGAUGAACUACUUCUACUACUUAAUAGCAAGGUGGUCACUUACUAGAGGUAUCUGGAAGGUCUUCAUGGUGCUCAGAGGAUUUCUGAUUCCAAAACACAGGAUACUGCAGAAUCUGCAUUACGUAUGAAGAACAAAGGCCUUCAAAAUAAAUUUGUUUACAAAUCAGGUGGCCAUUGCACAGUGCCUUCAGAAGCAGAUAAAGCAAAAUGUUAUGCUGUGGAUUUAAUUAGCAUGAAAUGUGAAUGCGCCGUUUCUGAAAGGGGUAAUUUCUGCAAGCAUAUUGAGUUUGCAAAAAUGAUGUGCAAAGAACAGGGGAUUGAUAUUGAUGGAAUUCGAAAAGAAUUAGCCAGUUCACUAACUGAACAGCAUUGCUAUGAGUGGGAUGGAAAACAUUUAAUUGUACAUUGUGCUGGUAGUUUUGGAGUAGUACAUGUGCAAAACCAACAGUGUACCUGUCUUGCCAAUAGUCUUGGAGAAAUAUGUGUCUGUCUAAGACUUUCUGAGAUAAUUGGUACACAGAACCCUAACCAAGAGGUAACGGACUGCUUUGUGAAUACCACAGCAAAUUGUCAAUCACACAAUAAACAGUUGUGUGUAAAGAAGAUGAUUUCAGACUUAAAGGAGUGGUGUGACAGCAGUGAUUAUAAGGAAUCUCCAGAGUUGAAUGCUGUAGUAAAACGUGCACACCAACUAGCAUUUGGACAGUAUAGCAUGGCCAGCAAUAAAAUAAAAAUUAUAAGGCUGCAUGCUUACAGAAAACGCAUUGAAAGAGCAAGAAGCCAUGCUAUAGACAUGCAUUCAUAUCAGCUCAAAGAACCCCUUAAUCGAGCUUUAUAUACCCAUAGACCUGAUUCCAAAUUCAAAGUCUGUUCCUUUAGAAAAAGAAUAAUUGGUAGCAGAGCAAAGAAUCAGAUACUAAAAUCGAGCUGAACGUGUGCUGUUAUGAGCCCACGCCUUUAUUUUUAAAUUACAGAAUGCACACAAAACUGGACAAAGUAUAGAGGUUAAUUACAACUGUUAAGGACCUCAAAGGUCUCUUCAAGUAAGAGUGAAAUACACUUUAAAAUGUAUGCGCCAAAGUGCUGUCCAUGAGCAGCAAUCCUGAGAACAUUAUUGUGGAGUGUACAUUUUAAAGUGUUAUAAGUUGUUAGAUAAAAAAAAAAAAUCAGAUACUUUACUGAUAGUCAUACACAUUAGGCCAUAUAACAUUUUCUACAAACUACGAUAGUGGCUCUAUACAUAAACUAUUCAGUAAUUUGAUAAAAUAUAAUUAUUUAUUCACAAUCAAUAAUUCAUACUUACCAGUGACCGAAGUACACUUCCUACGCUUUCUGGGAGGCAUUUCUCUGAGAAAAAAAUAUCAGAAUGAAAUUAUGAUAAUGGCAAGCUACAGCAUAUUUUUUUUUUCAAUCACAAUUUUUUUUAAUCAGCCUGCCAGCCAUGUGCCCC
Long non-coding RNA from Acipenser ruthenus (sterlet), 1893 nucleotides. RefSeq lists it as uncharacterized. The transcript is spliced from 4 exons. The record is from RefSeq and is a predicted model, not a curated record. NCBI's taxonomy places the organism in Eukaryota, Metazoa, Chordata, Actinopteri, Acipenseriformes, Acipenseridae.